CUAUGCGCCUUGCCAGCCCGCUCAGGUGUGCCAGCCGCCGCGGUAAUACGGAGGAUGCGAGCGUUAUCCGGAUUUAUUGGUUUAAAGGGUGCGUAGCGGGAUGCCAAGUCAGCGGUAAAAAUGCGGUGCUCAACGCCGUCGAGCCGUUGAAACUGGCGUUCUUGAGUGGGCGAGAAGUAUGCGGAAUGCGUGGUGUAGCGGUGAAAUGCAUAGAUAUCACGCAGAACUCCGAUUGCGAAGGCAGCAUACCGGCGCCCUACUGACGCUGAGGCACGAAAGCGUGGGUAUCGAACAGG
RNAcentral lists this ribosomal RNA (296 nucleotides) under uncultured bacterium. RNAcentral describes it as "partial 16S ribosomal RNA". It matches the Rfam family "Bacterial small subunit ribosomal RNA", at positions 475 to 776 of the family's 1533-position model. The record is from RNAcentral.